UUUAUCAAUUGGCUGAGGGUAGUAAAAAAAGGGCUGAAUUGGUUCGUCCCAAAGUAAGUGUAGGGUAGAUUAUGGUUGCGUCUUGUUGUUGUUGUUUUGAUAUAUAUUAAGUGUAUAAACAUCGAAUUCAUUUGUAGGCAAGGUUGCAGCCUAAUGGGAAUGAUUGUGGAUAUUAUGUGAUGAAGAAUAUGCUUGACAUUGUCUCUGCUAAUAUUACUAAGUCUUGGAAUGAGGUAUUCAAUGAUCCAACGGCAUUAACAGAAGAAGAGUUGUAUGAUUUGCGAAACAGUUGGGCAACUUGUUUUCUAGAGUUGAUUAAACCUUAGAAUUUAUCAGAUUGAUUGAAUUGCUGGGAAUUUUGCUGAUAUGGACAGUAGAUUGGUGGAGAGAUGAUUGAAUGGAUUCAUAUGAGGCACUUUUUCUGCUGAAUUGCGUGGCUCAGAAUUUCAAGUGGUAGUGAAUCUCUUUUUGUUGUAUUGGUGGUCUUGGAGGCUUGGUAAAAUUUGGGAUAGGCAGUAACAUUUGGGCAGUUUGUUGCCUUUGGAUUAGUAGCUUUAGAGUUCUUACUAUCUUAUUGCUUUAGUAGUUCGAGACUUUACUACCUUAGUCUUUUCUUUAGCUUAGCUAGUUUAUCUUUAGCUUAGCUAGUUUUGGUUACUUUGUAUUUUGGCUUUGGACCGUUUCCUUGGUUUUUUCCAAAAAAUAUUUGGCAAUGCAUGAUCAAUUAUUAAUGAUCAAUGAAUAUUCAGCUCAAAUUACUGUAAAAAAACUGAAAAAAAAAAGGAAAAAAAAGGACAUUUCACCUCGGUUAGAAAAUCAGCUGAUGUAAAAUAUGUAUAUAAAAAAAAAAAGAGUAUUCACAUCGGUUGCGAAAAGAACCGAUGUGAAAUGUCUAA
Lotus japonicus is the source of this 896-nucleotide long non-coding RNA. RefSeq lists it as uncharacterized. The record is from RefSeq and is a predicted model, not a curated record. The transcript has 3 exons. NCBI's taxonomy places the organism in Eukaryota, Viridiplantae, Streptophyta, Magnoliopsida, Fabales, Fabaceae.